GUGGGGAAUUUUGGACAAUGGGCGAAAGCCUGAUCCAGCCAUGCCGCGUGCAGGAUGAAGGCCUUCGGGUUGUAAACUGCUUUUGUACGGAACGAAAAGACUCCUUCUAAUAAAGGGGGUCCAUGACGGUACCGUAAGAAUAAGCACCGGCUAACUACGUGCCAGCAGCCGCGGUAAUACGUAGGGUGCAAGCGUUAAUCGGAAUUACUGGGCGUAAAGCGUGCGCAGGCGGUUAUAUAAGACAGAUGUGAAAUCCCCGGGCUCAACCUGGGAACUGCAUUUGUGACUGUAUAGAUAGAGUACGGUAGAGGGGGAUGGAAUUCCGCGUGUAGCAGUGAAAUGCGUAGAUAUGCGGAGGAACACCGAUGGCGAAGGCAAUCCCCUGGACCUGUACUGACGCUCAUGCACGAAAGCGUGGGGAGCAAACAGGAUUAGAAACCCCGGUAGUCC
RNAcentral lists this ribosomal RNA (450 nucleotides) under uncultured bacterium. RNAcentral's name for it is "partial 16S ribosomal RNA". It matches the Rfam family "Bacterial small subunit ribosomal RNA", at positions 354 to 796 of the family's 1533-position model. The record is from RNAcentral.